Molecule: transfer RNA, 73 nt
Filed under: Camelus dromedarius (Arabian camel)
Lineage: Eukaryota; Metazoa; Chordata; Mammalia; Artiodactyla; Camelidae
Also listed under: 1 other name
Rfam family: tRNA
About the family: Transfer RNA (tRNA) molecules are approximately 80 nucleotides in length.
Source: Rfam by way of RNAcentral
GAGGGUAUAGCUCAGUGGUUAGAGCACAUGCUUAUCAUACACAAGGUCCUGGGUUCAAUUCCCAGUACCUCCA